RNAcentral lists this long non-coding RNA (2384 nucleotides) under Homo sapiens (human). RNAcentral's name for it is "HSALNT0357111". Lineage: Eukaryota; Metazoa; Chordata; Mammalia; Primates; Hominidae. The record is from RNAcentral.
UGUGAUAGUCACUUUAUUGUGGUGGUCUGGAACCUGCAAUAUCUCCAAAGUAUGCCUGUACAAGUUUUUGUAGGGCGAUAUUUUUCCAUGUUUCUUUGGUAUAUAUCUCAAGGUGGAAUUGUUGGGUUAUCUAAGUAAUCAUAAGUAGGUUUAUAAUAUAUAUUCUAGAGAUUGUAGGCUAUUCUACCAAGAAACAGAGCUGAGGGCUUAAAGACCUGAGUUUGUCACUUUCCCACCUCUGUAAAUUCUCCAGCGCCAUCAGAAGCAGCCAGCUGCAUUCUUAAGGCUUUGCCUUCCGGGCCACUCUGCUGCAAGCAACCACAGGUAAUUACGGAUUCAUCACAGGCACUGGAAGACUGAAAGAACAAAAAGCAGAUGCUAAGAUAACCCUGAAAUUAUUCACACCAGGAAGAAACUACCAUCCCAGGCUGAGAGAACAAAAGGGAAGGAAUAUUGCUAUCAGGACCUUGGUGUUGUAGGGAUUCCACUUAAACCGCUGAGGGAAAUCUCUACACAGCUAGUACUGCAGCCUCUGAGAAUAGGGUGCCAUGUUCUGGAGAUCAGACCUUCAGGGGGACAUUUUGUACUGCUAGUGCCUAGACGCUAAGUAGGGUGUUGAUAGUGGUGGACCCUCAUAUUUAAAGGAGGGUCUUCAGUCUAGCUGGUACCUGUACCUCUAAAAAGGAAGUCUGGCCAUACCCUGGAUGUCUGAGCUGGCAGCACAACCCAGUGGAUAUUCCAGUCACUCAUGGGGCAGGGAUUGUGCCCCACAGACGCUCGAAUGGUCCAGAAGCACUGGCUCAGGGUGAGAAAAAAAGCAUAGCCCACCUGGCUGUACAACUGCAAAGGGGAUAUGGUCCAGCUCCUGUGGACAUCACUGAACAGGCACAGCAUGGCAGGUGCUGGGAGCAGUCACACAGUGGGCAGCUAGAACCUUCUCCCUGCUGCUAUGAGAGCAACACUGAUUGGAACUGGACACUGUGGGGAGAAAAAAGCCUUUUUUGUCCACUUCCUACCUAGCCAAUCUCCCCUGAAUGCUUCCUAUUGACAGAACCUAAAAGGAAGUCAGUUGGUGAGGGGACUAAGAAGUGGAGUUUGGAGAUCUUCAGCUCCAAAUGGAGCUGAGAGACCAGAGGGCAGAAGAUGAAGAGCCAGAAAACCUGGAUCCUGGCCCCAACCCAGCACUGACUGGGCUUACUUUGAUGGUCUGGAUAUACAGGCAUGUCAUCUGAAAUGAAGACAUUGUUGUCUCUUCUGCCUACAGAACCACAGGGUCAGCUGUGCCCCUUCCCCUUUCAGUAUAUUCCCAUAUUACAAUUUCUCCUGGAUAAAACCAGAGAAUGAGUCUCUAAACAAAGUAGGCAGAGAGCUGAAAAGAAGAGGCUUCAAGGAAGGAGAUUCCCAGCAUAGGCAAUUGGUUACAGAGUGAAGGAAAGUAGAGAAUAGGCAGAAAAAAAGGAUUCCAGGAUGGCUGAAACAACAUCUUUAAAGACUGAAAAAGAAAAAAAAAACUAUCACCAUCAAUUUCUAUAUCUAGCUCAACUAUCCUUCCAGAAUGAAAGCAAAAUAAGGACACUUUCAGACAAAAAAAAGAGAAAGAAGAUUUGUUUUCAGCAGACCUAGACUACAAUAAAUGCUAAAUAGAGAAAGUUCUUCAGGAUAAAGGCAAAUUAUAACAGAUGGAAAUCUGGAUCUUCAGAAAACAAAGAAGAGCACAGGAAAUGGUUACUGAUGUUACCAAACACAAAGUCCACUCCUGAAGCCCACUGGGAUGUAAAAUCCAUGACUACAGAGAUUUUGUGGGUCUUGUUCAUCAUUGCAUAUCAUCGGCAUCUAACACAGUGCUUGGCUUCUCAGAAGAAAAAUAGAAUUACCAUUCAACCUAGUGAUCCCAUUUAUAGGUAAGUACCCAAAGGAAAAUAAAUUGCUCUACCAAAAAGUUACCUGCUCUCAUAUGUGUAUUGCAGCACUAUUCACAAUAGCAAAAUUAUGGGAUCAACCUAGGUGCUCAUCAACAGUGGAUUGGAUAAAUAAAAUGUGGUACAUAUACACCAUGGAGUACUAUGCAGCCAGAAGUAAGAAUGGAAUCAUGUUUUCUGUAGCAACUGGAGCUGGAAGCCAUCCUCCUAAGUCAAUUAAUGCAGAAACAGAAAAAUCAAAUACUGUGGGUUCUCACUUAUAAGUGGGAGCAAAACAAUGGAGACACAUGGACAUAAAGGUGAAAACAAUAGACGCUGGGGCCUCCAAAAGAGAGAAAGGAGAGAGGAGAGGAAAGGUUGAAAUAUGACCUGUGGGGUACCAUGUUCACUAUUCAGGUGAUGGGUUCGAUAGAAGCCCAAACUCCAGCAUCUUGAAAUAUAUCCAUGUAACAAACCUGCAAUGUA